RNAcentral lists this ribosomal RNA (725 nucleotides) under uncultured bacterium. RNAcentral describes it as "bacterial SSU rRNA". It matches the Rfam family "Bacterial small subunit ribosomal RNA", at positions 771 to 1501 of the family's 1533-position model. The record is from RNAcentral.
AACAGGAUUAGAUACCCUGGUAGUCCACGCCCUAAACGAUGUCAACUAGCUGUUGGGGCCGUUAGGCCUUAGUAGCGCAGCUAACGCGUGAAGUUGACCGCCUGGGGAGUACGGUCGCAAGAUUAAAACUCAAAGGAAUUGACGGGGACCCGCACAAGCGGUGGAUGAUGUGGAUUAAUUCGAUGCAACGCGAAAAACCUUACCUACCCUUGACAUGGUCGGAAUCCCGCUGAGAGGUGGGAGUGCUCGAAAGAGAACCGGCGCACAGGUGCUGCAUGGCUGUCGUCAGCUCGUGUCGUGAGAUGUUGGGUUAAGUCCCGCAACGAGCGCAACCCUUGUCCUUAGUUGCUACGCAAGAGCACUCUAAGGAGACUGCCGGUGACAAACCGGAGGAAGGUGGGGAUGACGUCAAGUCCUCAUGGCCCUUAUGGGUAGGGCUUCACACGUCAUACAAUGGUCGGAACAGAGGGUUGCCAACCCGCGAGGGGGAGCUAAUCCCAGAAAACCGAUCGUAGUCCGGAUUGCACUCUGCAACUCGAGUGCAUGAAGCUGGAAUCGCUAGUAAUCGCGGAUCAGCAUGUCGCGGUGAAUACGUUCCCGGGUCUUGUACACACCGCCCGUCACACCAUGGGAGUGGGUUUCACCAGAAGUAGGUAGCCUAACCGCAAGGAGGGCGCUUACCACGGUGGGAUUCAUGACUGGGGUGAAGUCGUAACAAGGUAACC